This 459-nucleotide ribosomal RNA is filed under the name uncultured bacterium. Its description in RNAcentral is "partial 16S ribosomal RNA". It matches the Rfam family "Bacterial small subunit ribosomal RNA", at positions 338 to 795 of the family's 1533-position model. The record is from RNAcentral.
CCUACGGGAGACUGCAGUGAGGAAUAUUGGUCAAUGGCCGAGAGGCUGAACCAGCCAAGUCGCGUGAGGGAUGACGGCCCUACGGGUUGUAAACCUCUUUUGUCGGGGAGCAAAGAGAGUCACGUGUGGCUCAUUGAGAGUACCCGAAGAAAAAGCAUCGGCUAACUCCGUGCCAGCAGCCGCGGUAAUACGGAGGAUGCGAGCGUUAUCCGGAUUUAUUGGGUUUAAAGGGUGCGCAGGCGGAGGUGCAAGUCAGUGGUCAAAUUGCGGGGCUCAACCCCGUACUGCCGUUGAAACUGCAGCCCUUGAGUGCGCGAGAAGUAUGCGGAAUGCGUGGUGUAGCGGUGAAAUGCAUAGAUAUCACGCAGAACUCCGAUUGCGAAGGCAGCAUACCGGCGCGCAACUGACGCUCAUGCACGAAAGCGUGGGUAUCGAACAGGAUUAGAUACCCCAGUAGUC